ACGCUGGCGGCGUGCUUAACACAUGCAAGUCGAACGAGAAGUGGAGACGGAAACCUUCGGGCGGAAGACUUUAUUUCGAGUGGCGGACGGGUGAGUAACGCGUGGGUAACCUGCCUCAUACAGGGGGAUAACAGUUGGAAACGACUGUUAAUACCGCAUAAGACCACAGCACCGCAUGGUGCGGGGGUAAAAACUCCGGUGGUAUGAGAUGGACCCGCGUUCGAUUAGCCAGUUGGCGGGGUAACGGCCCACCAAAGCGACGAUCGAUAGCCGAUCUGAGAGGAUGACCGGCCACAUUGGGACUGAGACACGGCCCAAACUCCUACGGGAGGCAGCAGUGGGGAAUAUUGCACAAUGGGGGAAACCCUGAUGCAGCGACGCCGCGUGAGUGAAGAAGUAUUUCGGUAUGUAAAGCUCUAUCAGCAGGGAAGAAAAUGACGGUACCUGAGUAAGAAGCCCCGGCUAACUACGUGCCAGCAGCCGCGGUAAUACGUAGGGGGCAAGCGUUAUCCGGAUUUACUGGGUGUAAAGGGAGCGCAGACGGCUCUGCAAGUCUGAAGUGAAAGCCCGCGGCUUAACCGCGGGACUGCUUUGGAAACUGCAAGGCUUGAGUAUCGGAGGGGCAGGCGGAAUUCCUAGUGUAGCGGUGAAAUGCGUAGAUAUUAGGAAGAACACCGGUGGCGAAGGCGGCCUGCUGGACGAAAACUGACGUUGAGGCUCGAAGGCGUGGGGAGCAAACAGGAUUAGAUACCCUGGUAGUCCACGCGGUAAACGAUGAAUACUAGGUGUUGGUGCCCGAAGGGCAUCGGUGCCGUCGCAAACGCAAUAAGUAUUCCACCUGGGGAGUACGUUCGCAAGAAUGAACUCAAAGGGAAUUGACGGGGACCCGCACAAGCAGUGGAGCAUGGUGGUUUAAUUCG
RNAcentral lists this ribosomal RNA (920 nucleotides) under uncultured bacterium. RNAcentral describes it as "bacterial SSU rRNA". It matches the Rfam family "Bacterial small subunit ribosomal RNA", at positions 33 to 953 of the family's 1533-position model. The record is from RNAcentral.